CCUACGGGUGACAGCAGUGAGGAAUAUUGGUCAAUGGACGCAAGUCUGAACCAGCCAUGCCGCGUGCAGGAAGACGGCCCUAUGAGUUGUAAACUGCUUUUGUACGGGGGUAAACGCAGAUACGCGUAUCUGUCUGAAAGUAUCGUACGAAUAAGGACCGGCUAACUCCGUGCCAGCAGCCGCGGUAAUACGGAGGGUUCAGGCGUUAUCCGGAUUUAUUGGGGUUAAAGGGUGCGUAGGCGGUCGGAUAAGUUAGAGGUGAAAUCCCGGGGCUCAACUUCGGAAAUGCCUUUGAAACUGUUCGGCUAGAGGGUAGGUGCGGUAGGCGGAAUGUAUGGUGUAGCGGUGAAAUGCUUAGAGAUCAGGCAGAACACCGAUUGCGAAGGCAGCUUACCAAGCUACGUCUGACGUUGAGGCACGAAAGCGUGGGGAGCAAACAGGAUUAGAUACCCCGGUAGUC
This 460-nucleotide ribosomal RNA is filed under the name uncultured bacterium. Its description in RNAcentral is "partial 16S ribosomal RNA". It matches the Rfam family "Bacterial small subunit ribosomal RNA", at positions 338 to 795 of the family's 1533-position model. The record is from RNAcentral.